Molecule: ribosomal RNA, 161 nt
Filed under: uncultured cyanobacterium
Lineage: Bacteria; Bacillati; Cyanobacteriota
Description: partial 16S ribosomal RNA
Rfam family: Bacterial small subunit ribosomal RNA
Source: RNAcentral
CAGGGCGAAGCCUGACGGAGCAAUGCCGCGUGGAGGAAGAAGGCCUAUGGGUUGUAAUCUCCUUUUCUCAGAGAAGAAGUUCUGACGGUAUCUGAGGAAUAAGCAUCGGCUAACUCCGUGCCAGCAGCCGCGGUAAUACGAUGCCCGCCGCGGUAAUACGA